RNAcentral lists this long non-coding RNA (3810 nucleotides) under Aedes aegypti (yellow fever mosquito). Its description in RNAcentral is "lncRNA AAEL026166". The record is from RNAcentral. Lineage: Eukaryota; Metazoa; Arthropoda; Insecta; Diptera; Culicidae.
GAUCAAAACUGAAUAUAAACGAAUUUUUGAUUUGGAGUUUGGGGGGGCACGUGCCCCCCCGUGCCCCCCUUUAUCUACGCCAAUGCCUCUAAUUGUGGAAUAACAAACAGAACUCUCUCCGGAUCUUUCCUACUCCAUUUUAAUAAUUGUCAUGUGAACAUAAACAAUGUUCUGUAUGACAAAAGAACCCAGACACUUCCAGGAAAACCGAUUCAAUUACCAUUGAAUGGAAUAGAGAUUAAGAAGCACCAAGAAAUUCUCAAUAUUAGUUUGUAACAUCUCCAUAAACUACAACAACAGACCAGGAAAGAAUUGGGUAAAAUUCGUUUAUCAUCCAUAAGUCUGCAUUGGCCUCAUUGAAAGAGAACCAUCAUUAACAACCUUCCUCAAAUUUCAAAAGGAAUUACAUCAAGAACAAUCACCAACAACUUUCCACAGAUUUCAAAAGAAAUUAAAUCAGGACAUCAACAAACUAUUUUUCGAAACCUGUCACCAGCAGAAUUGAUUCAGAUGGAACCUCAUCACUAAGGCGGGAGGAGUUAACUAUUGAACCAGGCUGAAGCCGUAAUGAAUAACAACAGACGCCGGUUACAACGAAAAUAAACAACGAGUUGGAUAGCUGAAUAGACUCAACAACAAGUGGCAAAGCAGUAGAUCAGAGCUGUAAUAUAUUGAUUGGAAUAAAAUUAAAACCAGUGGGAGUUAGGUCGUCGAUCGAACUAGUUGUAUUACUUUUUUAGAAAGAAAACCCGAAGCGAAAGCGUUUAACUCGCGAGAAUGCGAACUGGCGCCCGAAGUAGAACAGGAAUCUCGUAUCACGUUGAUUACAAAUCUUGAGUUUGUCUUUCAGUUGUCACCGUUUAUCCGCACGAAUUCGAAAAUGUCGCAACUUACUGCCGAAGAACAGCAGAGAGUCAACCCGAAGUUGCUCCUAGUUCGAUCGUUCGUUGGUCCAAUGCAUCAGCAAAUGAAGAACUUAGUCACAGGAGGGUUAACAGAAGCGCAACCCAUCGAGGCGGAGUAUGAGAACACCGAGGACAUUGUUGUCCGCGGGAUUGGCUCAAACCCAAUCUAAGAGAUGCGUAUCGACAAGGGAAUCCCGCCAACAUAUCCCCUGCAAUGGUUUGAGAACAGUAACUGGGGAAAGCCACCAAUAACUCUGCCAGGACCCCGGGAGGGUGCCGGAAUUGGUGAUUACUUUCAUGUCCUUGCUGCCUUACUUGCAUGUCCAAGCAGCCUAUAUCUUCCUAAAUUUACUUUGCCAGCAAACAAAAGGCAUACUCAGAUUUGACUGGGUCUCCCUGGGCGUGCUUAUCGGGCGUGAGGGGCGCACGGUGAUCCCUCUGAGCAUGUUUAAUUUGAAGAUUACCAAAAUGAGCACUAACAUCGGGACAAGUCAGGCGGCAGUAUCCGACGAUUCUCUAUACGAUUUGGCACUUCUGAUCUUGGGCGGCUUCCGAAUCCACCUGGCCACAAAAAAGCGUACAUUGAUCGCUUGCAAACUGCUUUGAUCACCCCAGAUUUCGUGGAGUGGAAGUGGCCAUCACAAAUUUCGCCCAACUUUAUGUGGAUCCCGAGUUUAUAAAAUUAGCUUGCGGGAUUGACAUGUUUUUCGCAGUAUUCCCCCAUCACCCUAGAGCGAAACUUCGAUUCGGGACCCUAAUAAUGUCCCACAAGGAUUGCACAGGGCUAUCCGCCAUAACAUCUGGAUGCGAGCUCAUGAACCACACGACAAAAGUGUUCUCACGCUGGCUGAUGACCCCAGUCCUACGAGCUGAUCUCAACCGCAUGACAGUCCCGGGCCAGGAGAUUUGUGUGCCCUAUUCGUACAGCCCCUAUCUCUCUGGGUUGGGAAUCGUGGAUAAGAGUCCAUACUCAGCCUCCUUGAACUGUGACCUCCAUAUGUUCACUCAUAUGGUUGGAUGUGCGAUCCCCAUGGCGAGAUCUGUCAACGCCAUCUAUUUUCAGCCAUCCGGGCUACAGUCAAUCAUUGAUAACGCUAUUCUAUUCAUAUACGCCCAUUCUUGUACGAGCUCGCUACAAAUGCAGUUCUUCCGAGCGUCGGAAGUAGAAACAGUAAAGAAAGUGAAGGAGGAAGCUCGUCAGGUAGUUGAGGAGAUGAGGCAAAAACUACUAGGGGUCAGAGGACGAUGAUGAAUCGAGGGAUGGACGGAGCUCACCAGCGAGCGUAGAAGGAGGUGGAGAUAUCGAAGAUCUGGCCGAAGUACAAGAGGUCGGAGGAGUCGAUUAUGAUGAGCCAACCAGCCGUGAUGCGCUGGACUGGUACAUUUAUCUCAUGAAGACGUGCCAUGGGACGAUACCGCCCCGGAUGAGAGCUGUUGCUUACGAACGUUGGUGUGGCGAGCCGCAUUAUUUUCUCACGCAUUUCGAACGGUUUUGAGGUGUCGUUAUCUUUGCCUUUGACUUUCGUUAUCUUUACGAUACCAUAAAUAAGCCAGAUGCAACCGUAGAUGCAUAUACGGUUAUGCGUUAGAUGUUUAUUCUCUUUUCUUAGAAGGACGAGAGGAUAAACAUGAUGAUGAAAACGAAGCAUGAGAAAAUAAACAGCGGGCAAGCCAAACUCAAAAGGGACGCUCAAAUAUGUGCUCCAAAUAGUCAUAAGAAGUUAUAAAUAAGAGUAAUGUAAUAAAAAAUGUCCAGUCUGAAGUUAACAACCAACGCAUUUGGUCUAAGAAAGAAAGCCAAAUUAUCACAUUUGGUGGCAGCGAGUUAACGAAUCGAGAAAAUCAGUGUCUCGUAGAAAAGCCGUGUUUGGCCAUUGCGGAUAGCAAGAAAAAAAAAAGUGCAACCAUUUUUCACCAUCGCCUAUUGAAAACGAGAUUGUGCAGAUUUUUCCAUCGUUUUUAAGUUAUCGUUUUACGGCUCUUGGCGAGUCCCGGAAACAGAGUUCCAGUACACUGAGAAUACGGUUCCGCCGUGGAAUGUCCAGAAACUAGUGCAAGAAAGGCGCGAUUUUGGCAGUAAAGGAUCAAAAGAAAUUAUCUCGAGUUGGCUGGACGCAAAGGAAGAAGCAAAACGCGUUCCAUUGGUUGAUCAUUGAGAGGACCACCAAAAAGGCUGGGAAUACACUUUCUACCGCCAGAGUGGAUUAGUUCGUGAAGGAAUCCAGAUUUGAAUCGGAAGAAGCAGUUGUAGCUGUAGCAGCAGAGGCAGCUGUUAAUUAGCAGAGGUUUCAUCACCGAGGUCAACGAAGAUCAGCGAAGCCACCCCGGAGAUCCUAGCGAGGCGACGACGGAAGAAAAAGCAGAAGCAGUGUUUUACACCAAGAUCUAUGCGGCAAUUAACAGGUUAGCACAGUGUUUUUUUUGUGUAGUGUGUAAGAUUAUUCACUCUUCAAGUGAUUUUAUUUGUUUAACAUAGCGAAUAUAUUUUUUUUUUGCCUAUGUCUAAUAAUUUGUCUUUGAGAUCCAGAGACAUUCCAAGACAAGCUUUUGAACAAGAAUUGCUAUUGCAAGAAAGUGAUUCGAAUUCUUCUUUAAACGCAUCACAAUUUAAAAGUUUUGCAAUGGCAUUUGAUCGCAAUUUUGCUUUCAAUGUUAUCCCCGAAUUGAAGGGAAAAAGUAACGUUGAAAUUUUCAUAAACCAAUGCGAUGCAAUUUAUGAUGAAUUUGGCGAGGAGGAUUGCGAAGUCAGCCUAAUGGCUAUAAUUCGUAGUAAAAUUUCAGCUAAUGUGUGAUUAGCUUCUAAAGACUGCACAAAAUACACGGAGCUGAAAGAAUUUUUGUUGAAUAAAUUUUGCGAUGAUACGCCAUUAAGUGCGAUGAUGAACAGGCUCAAUACCAGUCUGAG